This 209-nucleotide ribosomal RNA is filed under the name uncultured bacterium. Its description in RNAcentral is "partial 16S ribosomal RNA". It matches the Rfam family "Bacterial small subunit ribosomal RNA", at positions 568 to 775 of the family's 1533-position model. The record is from RNAcentral.
CUCGUAGGCGGCCAACUAAGUCAGACGUGAAAUCCCUCGGCUUAACCGGGGAACUGCGUCUGAUACUGGGUGGCUUGAAUCCGGGAGAGGGAUGCGGAAUUCCAGGUGUAGCGGUGAAAUGCGUAGAUAUCUGGAGGAACACCGGUGGCGAAGGCGGCAUCCUGGACCGGUAUUGACGCUGAGGAGCGAAAGCCAGGGGGAGCAAACGG